Long non-coding RNA from Nicotiana tabacum (common tobacco), 582 nucleotides. RefSeq lists it as uncharacterized. The record is from RefSeq and is a predicted model, not a curated record. NCBI's taxonomy places the organism in Eukaryota, Viridiplantae, Streptophyta, Magnoliopsida, Solanales, Solanaceae.
CAACUGGCCUCCAGUUUGAUUCUUUCAGUUCACCUCUUUGUUCUUCAGUGCAAAUCUUUUCUUUCUAUAGUAGACAUUCUCUCUCUCUCACUCACUACCGAUGACCAAAGAAGCUACGGAAAUAGUUAGCUUCAAUGGGCUGGAGAAGGAAAAAGUGCAGUGAAAAUAUCCAGCUUUCUACUUUUGACUACUCGGCUAUCCAAUUAAGUUUUUGGAGACGAGGCAAAUAUCAUCCAAGACUAAAUUUCUGUAGAGGAAGGGAAAUGGCGACUUUGUGCCGACUCUAUAAUAUUGUUGCUUCCAUUGCUCUUGCAGCUUUCGCUUUAAAGUGAAACUUUGUAUGAGUGUGAACUAACAACGCUGUUAUAUUUCAGCGGCUUUUCUUUUAGGCAGCUGUUCACCGUUGAAUCUCGCUAAUACAGCCCCCUAUAAUUUUCGUUAUCGAGAUAUCUUUUUUUUUUUUCAUUGUUCCCACGGUUUUUUUUUGGGGAAUCUGCGAUAAAUGAAGCUGUAUCCCUUUUGGCUUGAAUGUAGUUAUGCUAAUUGUGGCUCUAUGGAUUUCUCAGCCAACAAGGUUAAUUA